This 2807-nucleotide ribosomal RNA is filed under the name Escherichia coli. Its description in RNAcentral is "bacterial LSU rRNA". It matches the Rfam family "Bacterial large subunit ribosomal RNA". Lineage: Bacteria; Pseudomonadati; Pseudomonadota; Gammaproteobacteria; Enterobacterales; Enterobacteriaceae. The record is from RNAcentral.
GGGUUGUGAGGUUAAGCGACUAAGCGUACACGGUGGAUGCCCUGGCAGUCAGAGGCGAUGAAGGACGUGCUAAUCUGCGAUAAGCGUCGGUAAGGUGAUAUGAACCGUUAUAACCGGCGAUUUCCGAAUGGGGAAACCCAGUGUGUUUCGACACACUAUCAUUAACUGAAUCCAUAGGUUAAUGAGGCGAACCGGGGGAACUGAAACAUCUAAGUACCCCGAGGAAAAGAAAUCAACCGAGAUUCCCCCAGUAGCGGCGAGCGAACGGGGAGCAGCCCAGAGCCUGAAUCAGUGUGUGUGUUAGUGGAAGCGUCUGGAAAGGCGCGCGAUACAGGGUGACAGCCCCGUACACAAAAAUGCACAUGCUGUGAGCUCGAUGAGUAGGGCGGGACACGUGGUAUCCUGUCUGAAUAUGGGGGGACCAUCCUCCAAGGCUAAAUACUCCUGACUGACCGAUAGUGAACCAGUACCGUGAGGGAAAGGCGAAAAGAACCCCGGCGAGGGGAGUGAAAAAGAACCUGAAACCGUGUACGUACAAGCAGUGGGAGCACGCUUAGGCGUGUGACUGCGUACCUUUUGUAUAAUGGGUCAGCGACUUAUAUUCUGUAGCAAGGUUAACCGAAUAGGGGAGCCGAAGGGAAACCGAGUCUUAACUGGGCGUUAAGUUGCAGGGUAUAGACCCGAAACCCGGUGAUCUAGCCAUGGGCAGGUUGAAGGUUGGGUAACACUAACUGGAGGACCGAACCGACUAAUGUUGAAAAAUUAGCGGAUGACUUGUGGCUGGGGGUGAAAGGCCAAUCAAACCGGGAGAUAGCUGGUUCUCCCCGAAAGCUAUUUAGGUAGCGCCUCGUGAAUUCAUCUCCGGGGGUAGAGCACUGUUUCGGCAAGGGGGUCAUCCCGACUUACCAACCCGAUGCAAACUGCGAAUACCGGAGAAUGUUAUCACGGGAGACACACGGCGGGUGCUAACGUCCGUCGUGAAGAGGGAAACAACCCAGACCGCCAGCUAAGGUCCCAAAGUCAUGGUUAAGUGGGAAACGAUGUGGGAAGGCCCAGACAGCCAGGAUGUUGGCUUAGAAGCAGCCAUCAUUUAAAGAAAGCGUAAUAGCUCACUGGUCGAGUCGGCCUGCGCGGAAGAUGUAACGGGGCUAAACCAUGCACCGAAGCUGCGGCAGCGACGCUUAUGCGUUGUUGGGUAGGGGAGCGUUCUGUAAGCCUGUGAAGGUGUGCUGUGAGGCAUGCUGGAGGUAUCAGAAGUGCGAAUGCUGACAUAAGUAACGAUAAAGCGGGUGAAAAGCCCGCUCGCCGGAAGACCAAGGGUUCCUGUCCAACGUUAAUCGGGGCAGGGUGAGUCGACCCCUAAGGCGAGGCCGAAAGGCGUAGUCGAUGGGAAACAGGUUAAUAUUCCUGUACUUGGUGUUACUGCGAAGGGGGGACGGAGAAGGCUAUGUUGGCCGGGCGACGGUUGUCCCGGUUUAAGCGUGUAGGCUGGUUUUCCAGGCAAAUCCGGAAAAUCAAGGCUGAGGCGUGAUGACGAGGCACUACGGUGCUGAAGCAACAAAUGCCCUGCUUCCAGGAAAAGCCUCUAAGCAUCAGGUAACAUCAAAUCGUACCCCAAACCGACACAGGUGGUCAGGUAGAGAAUACCAAGGCGCUUGAGAGAACUCGGGUGAAGGAACUAGGCAAAAUGGUGCCGUAACUUCGGGAGAAGGCACGCUGAUAUGUAGGUGAAGUCCCUCGCGGAUGGAGCUGAAAUCAGUCGAAGAUACCAGCUGGCUGCAACUGUUUAUUAAAAACACAGCACUGUGCAAACACGAAAGUGGACGUAUACGGUGUGACGCCUGCCCGGUGCCGGAAGGUUAAUUGAUGGGGUUAGCCGCAAGGCGAAGCUCUUGAUCGAAGCCCCGGUAAACGGCGGCCGUAACUAUAACGGUCCUAAGGUAGCGAAAUUCCUUGUCGGGUAAGUUCCGACCUGCACGAAUGGCGUAAUGAUGGCCAGGCUGUCUCCACCCGAGACUCAGUGAAAUUGAACUCGCUGUGAAGAUGCAGUGUACCCGCGGCAAGACGGAAAGACCCCGUGAACCUUUACUAUAGCUUGACACUGAACAUUGAGCCUUGAUGUGUAGGAUAGGUGGGAGGCUUAGAAGUGUGGACGCCAGUCUGCAUGGAGCCGACCUUGAAAUACCACCCUUUAAUGUUUGAUGUUCUAACGUUGACCCGUAAUCCGGGUUGCGGACAGUGUCUGGUGGGUAGUUUGACUGGGGCGGUCUCCUCCUAAAGAGUAACGGAGGAGCACGAAGGUUGGCUAAUCCUGGUCGGACAUCAGGAGGUUAGUGCAAUGGCAUAAGCCAGCUUGACUGCGAGCGUGACGGCGCGAGCAGGUGCGAAAGCAGGUCAUAGUGAUCCGGUGGUUCUGAAUGGAAGGGCCAUCGCUCAACGGAUAAAAGGUACUCCGGGGAUAACAGGCUGAUACCGCCCAAGAGUUCAUAUCGACGGCGGUGUUUGGCACCUCGAUGUCGGCUCAUCACAUCCUGGGGCUGAAGUAGGUCCCAAGGGUAUGGCUGUUCGCCAUUUAAAGUGGUACGCGAGCUGGGUUUAGAACGUCGUGAGACAGUUCGGUCCCUAUCUGCCGUGGGCGCUGGAGAACUGAGGGGGGCUGCUCCUAGUACGAGAGGACCGGAGUGGACGCAUCACUGGUGUUCGGGUUGUCAUGCCAAUGGCACUGCCCGGUAGCUAAAUGCGGAAGAGAUAAGUGCUGAAAGCAUCUAAGCACGAAACUUGCCCCGAGAUGAGUUCUCCCUGACUCC